UGGGGAAUUUUGGACAAUGGGGGAAACCCUGAUCCAGCCAUCCCGCGUGUGCGAUGAAGGCCUUCGGGUUGUAAAGCACUUUUGGCAGGAAAGAAACGUCGCGGGUUAAUACCCCGCGAAACUGACGGUACCUGCAGAAUAAGCACCGGCUAACUACGUGCCAGCAGCCGCGGUAAUACGUAGGGUGCAAGCGUUAAUCGGAAUUACUGGGCGUAAAGCGUGCGCAGGCGGUCCGGAAAGAAAGAUGUGAAAUCCCAGAGCUUAACUUUGGAACUGCAUUUUUAACUACCGGGCUAGAGUGUGUCAGAGGGAGGUGGAAUUCCGCGUGUAGCAGUGAAAUGCGUAGAUAUGCGGAGGAACACCGAUGGCGAAGGCAGCCUCCUGGGAUAACACUGACGCUCAUGCACGAAAGCGUGGGGAGCAAACAGGAUUAGAUACCCUGGUAGUCCACGCCCUAAACGAUGUCAACUAGCUGUUGGGGGCCUUCGGGCCUUGGUAGCGCAGCUAACGCGUGAAGUUGACCGCCUGGGGAGUACGGUCGCAAGAUUAAAACUC
This 555-nucleotide ribosomal RNA is filed under the name uncultured bacterium. RNAcentral describes it as "partial 16S ribosomal RNA". It matches the Rfam family "Bacterial small subunit ribosomal RNA", at positions 355 to 902 of the family's 1533-position model. The record is from RNAcentral.